GACGAGCGCUGGCGGCGUGCCUAAUACAUGCAAGUUGAGCGCUGAAGGUUGGUACUUGUACCAACUGGAUGAGCAGCGAACGGGUGAGUAACGCGUGGGGAAUCUGCCUUUGAGCGGGGGACAACAUUUGGAAACGAAUGCUAAUACCGCAUAAAAACUUUAAACACAAGUUUUAAGUUUGAAAGAUGCAAUUGCAUCACUCAAAGAUGAUCCCGCGUUGUAUUAGCUAGUUGGUGAGGUAAAGGCUCACCAAGGCGAUGAUACAUAGCCGACCUGAGAGGGUGAUCGGCCACAUUGGGACUGAGACACGGCCCAAACUCCUACGGGAGGCAGCAGUAGGGAAUCUUCAGCAAUGGACGAAAGUCUGACCGAGCAACGCCGCGUGAGUGAAGAAGGUUUUCGGGUCGUAAAACUCUGUUGGUAGAGAAGAACGUUGGUGAGAGUGGAAAGCUCAUCAAGUGACGGUAACUACCCAGAAAGGGACGGCUAACUACGUG
This 497-nucleotide ribosomal RNA is filed under the name uncultured bacterium. Its description in RNAcentral is "partial 16S ribosomal RNA". It matches the Rfam family "Bacterial small subunit ribosomal RNA", at positions 28 to 507 of the family's 1533-position model. The record is from RNAcentral.